GGGGCCCCGGUCCGGGCCCGUGCCACCGUCCCUUAGUCCCUUCCUUCAGGGAACCAGCGCCAUUCACUGCUUUCCUUUGGGACCUUGGUCGAAAGGCUCCCGCGCUCUUCAGGAGCUGCUGCUAUUGGCGGAGCUAGUUUCCAAGGUUAGCUCCUAUUGGCUGCUUGCCUUACUCAGGCUGAUUUCAGAGAUGUGAUAUGUGCCUCUAGGAUCAAUGGAAUAUGGUAUUUGGAAAGAAGAAGAGACCAAGAAUAAAGGACCUAGCACUUUAAGGACUUCACCCUACUGCCUUUCCCAGUCUUGCCACAAGAGUCCUCGAUGGGUACACAGCAGCAAUGAUACCAGAAGCCAAACUAAAGGUGGUGGUCUGGAGCACCUACUGAGCCAGGGCCCUGUCCUAAGAUUUUGG
This 409-nucleotide long non-coding RNA is filed under the name Macaca mulatta (Rhesus monkey). RNAcentral describes it as "lncRNA (ENSMMUG00000059565.1)". Lineage: Eukaryota; Metazoa; Chordata; Mammalia; Primates; Cercopithecidae. The record is from RNAcentral.